This is a small nuclear RNA of 167 nucleotides. Its record names the gene U1. It matches the Rfam family "U1 spliceosomal RNA". From Rfam's summary of the family: U1 is a small nuclear RNA (snRNA) component of the spliceosome (involved in pre-mRNA splicing). Its 5' end forms complementary base pairs with the 5' splice junction, thus defining the 5' donor site of an intron. There are significant differences in sequence and secondary structure between metazoan and yeast U1 snRNAs, the latter being much longer (568 nucleotides as compared to 164 nucleotides in human). The record is from Ensembl.
AUACUUACCUGGCAGGGGAGAUACCAUGAUCAUCACGGAGGUGGUUUUCCCAGGGCAAGGCUUAUCAAUUGCACUGCGGGUGUGCUGACCUCUGCGAUUUCCCCAAAUGUGGGAAACUCUACCGCAUCAUUUGUGGUAGUGGGGGACUGCGUUCGCACUUUCCCCUA